RNAcentral lists this ribosomal RNA (506 nucleotides) under Actinomycetales bacterium TLI011. Its description in RNAcentral is "bacterial SSU rRNA". It matches the Rfam family "Bacterial small subunit ribosomal RNA", at positions 119 to 639 of the family's 1533-position model. Lineage: Bacteria; Bacillati; Actinomycetota; Actinomycetes; Actinomycetales. The record is from RNAcentral.
GGGCAAUCUGCCCUUCACUCUGGGACAAGCCCUGGAAACGGGGUCUAAUACCGGAUAACACCGGCUUCCGCAUGGAAGCUGGUUGAAAGCUCCGGCGGUGAAGGAUGAGCCCGCGGCCUAUCAGCUUGUUGGUGGGGUAAUGGCCCACCAAGGCGACGACGGGUAGCCGGCCUGAGAGGGCGACCGGCCACACUGGGACUGAGACACGGCCCAGACUCCUACGGGAGGCAGCAGUGGGGAAUAUUGCACAAUGGGCGAAAGCCUGAUGCAGCGACGCCGCGUGAGGGAUGACGGCCUUCGGGUUGUAAACCUCUUUCAGCAGGGAAGAAGCGAAAGUGACGGUACCUGCAAAAGAAGCGCCGGCUAACUACGUGCCAGCAGCCGCGGUAAUACGUAGGGCGCAAGCGUUGUCCGGAAUUAUUGGGCGUAAAGAGCUCGUAGGCGGCUUGUCACGUCGGGUGUGAAAGCCCGGGGCUUAACCCCGGGUCUGCAUCCGAUACGGGCAG